This 387-nucleotide ribosomal RNA is filed under the name Triticum aestivum (bread wheat). RNAcentral's name for it is "partial small subunit ribosomal RNA". Lineage: Eukaryota; Viridiplantae; Streptophyta; Magnoliopsida; Poales; Poaceae. The record is from RNAcentral.
AUGCCUUACGAUGAGCGGUACACACCGUACAUCCAGCAGGCAGGACUACUCCCGUGGAUUCAGUUGGUCAGCCGGUCCACGCCGAAUCUCAACACUCCACUGGUGUCCGCUCGUGCUGAUCGGUCGAGGCCGAAGACGCACAAUUUCCAUCUUCGGACUGGGGAGAUGACAGUGACACUCGAGGAUGUCUCGUUGAUCACCGGUCUUGCUAUCGACGGGAGGCCUCUCUGUAUGAGCACUGAUUCUGAUGGGUGGUGCCAGCAGAUGAUUGCUCUUAUCGGUAUGGCCCCUACCGAGGAUGAGGCUGAUGUAGAGGAGGGAGAAGAGAAGAACAAGAAGGAAAGGAAAGCAGCCGGAGCUGCUUUCACGUGGAUUCAAAGAUUAUGA